RNAcentral lists this ribosomal RNA (207 nucleotides) under uncultured bacterium. Its description in RNAcentral is "partial 16S ribosomal RNA". It matches the Rfam family "Bacterial small subunit ribosomal RNA", at positions 568 to 774 of the family's 1533-position model. The record is from RNAcentral.
CGUGUAGGCGGAUUAGAAAGUCGGGCGUGAAAUACCUCGGCUCAACCGAGGAAUUGCGUCCGAAACUUCUUUUCUUGAGUGUGGAAGGGGAGAGUGGAACUCCUGGUGGAGCGGUGAAAUGCGUAGAUAUCAGGAGGAACGCCGGUGGCGAAAGCGGCUCUCUGGUCCACUACUGACGCUGAGGCGCGAAAGCCAGGGGAGCAAACG